This 497-nucleotide ribosomal RNA is filed under the name uncultured bacterium. RNAcentral's name for it is "partial 16S ribosomal RNA". It matches the Rfam family "Bacterial small subunit ribosomal RNA", at positions 28 to 507 of the family's 1533-position model. The record is from RNAcentral.
GAUGAACGCUGGCGGCGUGCCUAAUACAUGCAAGUCGAGCGAACAGACGAGGAGCUUGCUCCUCUGACGUUAGCGGCGGACGGGUGAGUAACACGUGGAUAACCUACCUAUAAGACUGGGAUAACUUCGGGAAACCGGAGCUAAUACCGGAUAAUAUAUUGAACCGCAUGGUUCAAUAGUGAAAGACGGUUUUGCUGUCACUUAUAGAUUGAUCCGCGCCGCAUUAGCUAGUUGGUAAGGUAACGGCUUACCAAGGCAACGAUGCGUAGCCGACCUGAGAGGGGGAUCGGCCACACGGGAACUGAGACACGGUCCAGACUCCGACGGGAGGCAGCAGUAGGGAAUCUGCCGCAAUGGGCGAAAGCGUGACGGAGCAACGCCGCGUGAGUGAUGAAGGUCUUCGGAUCGUAAAACUCUGUUAUUAGGGAAGAACAAAUGUGUAAGUAACUAUGCACGUCUUGACGGUACCUAAUCAGAAAGCCACGGCUAACUACGUG